Molecule: long non-coding RNA, 2151 nt
Filed under: Gossypium barbadense (sea-island cotton)
Lineage: Eukaryota; Viridiplantae; Streptophyta; Magnoliopsida; Malvales; Malvaceae
Description: long non-coding RNA (GBAR_LNC010161)
Source: RNAcentral
UUUGAACUCAAUUUGUUCCUUUGUUUGAAUAAUGUUUUUAUUUGAACAAGGGAAAGUAAAAAGCAUGAAGUAUCCCGUACUAGAAGUAUAUAAUAACAUUUGUUUGAAUAACAUUUCUAUUUACUAUAGUUGUAAGACUAAAAGUAUAUAAUAAGCUACCAGACUACAAAAGAAGCUGCCCAUUUAAUGAAUCCAAACUACAUUACCAGGAAGAAAAAUCCUACAAACUCAACCUGCUUGCCUGCCUGUCCUUCCUACCUUGUACUUUGCUAUUGACAAUCUUAUUUCAAGGUUCAAUUACUAACAGAGGCUGCAAAGAUGACAAAAAAGAACGCCUGAGCAACAGAAAACUAAGACAAAAAGGACAAAAACAAUCAAAUUUACUUCAAAUCCACAAUUCAAUACCCAUCCAUCCAUCCAUAUACAUUAUUUGGAAUCAAGGUAGCAAAGAAUACUCACUGUAUCAACGUUGACUGCUUUGCCAUCUUUUACAAGGAUCUCGACUAUGGUUCCUAAUUGAUCAGCCUAUUGAAACAAUGAUUUUUCAUCUACAGUUAGCUACAUAAAGAGACAAUUUGACAAUUUCAAUAAACUAUGGAUGCAACAGAUCAACAUAUUGAUUAAGGGCUGUACAACAGAUUACAGUGAUACUGCAACUGCCAAGUGCAGUAAUUAUGGGCGGUAAUCGCUAAUUGGCCAAACAAACUAAAAUGCAGCUAUCAGGCUGGUUGAUGAGAAUGCUCCAAGAGGAAGAACUAAUAUGGAAUCUAUUUAAUACUAAGUCUCUUUAAGGUUAAAGUUUAAUCAAGCAAGCAUGAAUGUUCAAUAAAAAAAUGGAAAACUAACUGGCCAUUUAAUUGAAACCUGCAGCAGAGUAUCCUUAUAACCAAAAAGUACCAGUCAAGCUUGCUUAAGUUUCUAUUCAGCAUUGACCUUAGGGCCUUACACAUUCAAGAAUCCUAAAGAUCUGAGCCAACUACACGAAUCUUUUCCUUCCAUUUAGCCUCUGUUAAAGCAUUCUCUUGUCCCACACUUAAAUUUCAUUUCUUUUUUAUCUAGAUAUUAAAAAUCAUUUUUCAACAGAAAGCAUCUAAACCAUGCUUAUGACUAAAUUCAUUAAAGCAUCCUUUCUCCCAGUUUAUAUAUGAUUGCAUCAACUUUAAUUUUUUUUUUCUUUAAAGUCAUUCUCAUUCUAUCUUUUUUUUGGGGUAUUUUUGCUUAUAUCCGUUUCAAUGUUUCCAUUUGGAUCACAAGCUACGUGUGCACAUUUUCUCCACCUAAACACAAAAGGCACUGUUACUAUUAAUCUAAAGAAAGUAUUUAACCAAUUUGUAGUACUAACCAAUGGUUUUUCGUAGUACUAAACGUUUCCUCUAUGAAUUUUAAAACACCUAAAGCAGAGACCAAACCUGAAAUCUAUGCCUUUCACAAAGUGGUCUCUGCACAAACUGAUUCCUCUACUAACAAUGGGGAAACUUUCUUCUAAUGGAUCUAAAAUUUUAAUGUUCUCACCCCAUUUCACAAGCCUGUCCAAAAAUUCUGCUGCAAUACUUUCCUGUCAAACAAAUAACAAGCUUUGCCUCGUCAUGAAUUGGAAAUAGAAAAAAAAUAUAACAAAAUCGACGAAGACAUGCUACAGGCAUAGUUCAAGAACUCGUGGUAGCAGAAUCUUUCCCUUUUUGGAUCUAAUGUGUGACUUUGACUUGAAUCAUAAUAACAGUAAUUUUCAUCCAACCACGUUCCCAUACAAGAAGAGUUUUGAAGUUAUGAGUGAGGAGAAAUAUAAUCCUAUUUUAGGAGCUUAUCAUAAAAAAAGAAAAGGUACCCUUUAGGGAGAUGAAGAUGAAGGGCGAAUGCACCCUUGAUUUAGGGAUAAAUGUUGGAAGAAAUCUAGAGUAGAAAUUUGGGGAGAAGAAAGCAGGCUAUUUUGAGGAUAAAUUUUAGGCGUGUGGUGUUGAAUAACAAUUCAAAGGCCCCGCCCGUGAAUACUUAUUACAACAACUGAGGGAAUAUAAGUAUAAUAGCAAAGCUGUAAAAUUACCUAAACGAUGAACCAAACUUGAAAAUUACUAUAACAGGCGGAAUAGGGCAGAAAUAAAAUUGCAAUUCCAUCCAACCAAGCCGUUGAACUUAUCCUUCACUAAAAUCACA